AUUCUUUCGCAGAGGCAAUAUUGUAGCCUAUGAGGUUUAUCCGAGCGCGAUCAUUGCUGGUUGAAAACUUUACCCAAUACCCCGCCAGGAUGACUUGAAAUACAGUCAGCCUUGGCAAUUUUUUUGCCAGCUUCUGUGGAAG
Molecule: small nuclear RNA, 142 nt
Organism: Cyprinus carpio carpio
Lineage: Eukaryota; Metazoa; Chordata; Actinopteri; Cypriniformes; Cyprinidae
Gene: U4
Rfam family: U4 spliceosomal RNA
About the family: U4 small nuclear RNA (U4 snRNA) is a component of the major U2-dependent spliceosome.
Source: Ensembl